Alosa alosa (allis shad) is the source of this 4400-nucleotide long non-coding RNA. RefSeq lists it as uncharacterized. NCBI's taxonomy places the organism in Eukaryota, Metazoa, Chordata, Actinopteri, Clupeiformes, Clupeidae. The transcript is spliced from 16 exons. The record is from RefSeq and is a predicted model, not a curated record.
CCAGUACUGAGGGGAGAUGUCUGAAGAUUAAGUUCAGAGAGGCAAGACACCUUGGACUUUCCAGCCAGCAUAAUUUGAAGAAUGUUUAAAGUGAUAGCAUCAUUUAUGGAUGAUAUGGAUCAUUUUUGCAGCGGCCAUUGAAUCAAGAGAAUUUUGGACAUGAAAGAAGAGGCAAGCUCCAGAGUACUGCAUGGAAAGAUGUCAGAAAAGGCCCACGGCAGAGCUUCACUCUUCGUCAUGCCCCUUCUGACUUGACCUUCAGCUGCAGUUUGUCUACCAAAUCCUGAAGACGAUGCAGAUUCUUCUUAUCUUCCUCGGUCUAAGGGUAAAGAAUUAGGAUCCGGUUGGGGAAGCCCUUUCUGCAGAUCCUGAUGCCUUCCAGCACACCGUUACAGCGCAGCUGGUGCAUGACCAGAGGAUUCUCCAUGGCCCCAGGAGUCUUGGUCUCGUUGGGGAUGAUGCAGCGCACAAAGUGGGGGUAUGGAAGCCAAAGACAAACUCCAGACUACAGCAUGAAUAUCUUUCAGGAAGGCCUACGACAGAGCUUCACUCUUCCUAAUGUGCUUUCUGUGAGAAAAAGGAAAACAAAUUAGACGGGUGCCAGUGCUGUGCCUUGAUGUGCAUACAGACUUACGCUGCACCUGUCUACUAGAAGCGAACCAAGGAAUGCCCAAGGUUUGGAACCCAUUGGACAUUGAUUUUGUUCAGAGGGACACAGCUUCUUGGACUUCUCAACAAGUGUAAAUAUGAAUUGGUAUGGGAGCCAAAGUGAAGCUCCAGAGCACUGCACACAAUGGUUUCAGAAAAGGCUCUUCACUCCUCGUCAUGCCCUUUCUGUGAAAAAAUGAAGGGAGAAAAAAGAAAAUGAGUCUGGACUUGACCUUCAGCUGCAGUUUGUCCACCAGAUCCUGAAGACGAUGCAGAUUCUUCUUGUCUUCUUCAGUCUAGAGAUAAAGAGUCAGGAUACAGGAUCCUGUUGGGGAAGCCCUUUCUGCAGAUCCUGAUGCCUUCCAGCACACCGUUACAGCGAAGCUGGUGCAUGACCAGAGGAUUCUCCAUGGCCCCAGGAGUCUUGGUCUCGUUGGGGAUGAUGCAGCGCACAAAGUGGGGGUUUGGAUACCUGUUCAACGUAGAAGUACAUCUUGGACUUCCUAGUCAUUCUCAAGCAGUAGGUUAUGGUACCAUGAGGAGUUAUACGGAUAAUUUAUGCUGCAUUUGCUGAACCAAGAACCUUAUGGAUAUUAAAGUAUGGGAGCCAAAGGCAACCUCCACAGCACCGCACUCAAUGGUUUCAGAAAAGGCCCAAGAUAGAGCUUCACUCUUCAUCGUGCCCUUUCUGUGGAAGAAUAAAGGGAGAACAAAGAAAAUAAAAAUGAGUCAGGACUUGACCUUCAGCUGCAGUUUGUCCACCAGAUCCUGAAGACGAUGCAGAUUCUUCUUGUCUUCUUCAGUCUAGAGAUAAAGAGGUUAGUAAGCCAUGAUAAUUGUUAUGAUGAAUGAGACAGAAAAUGGAAGAUAGAGACGAAAAGUUUAAUUUUGUUCACUACAUGCCAACUUCAGUACCUGGUAAGUGAGCUCCUUGAUGCGGCGCUCAUAUUUACGGAUUCCUUUUAUAGAAUCACUGGCCUUCCGUUGUUCCAGGAGCUUCACUCCUCUUCUUGCCUCUGUAAGCAAGAACAACUUCAUGGUUGUACACUGGCAACCACUUGUAGGGGUUGAUAGUGACACAGAACAACCCAGAGUAGGUCUGUACAAAGACGAGAUUAAUAAUGGAGAGUUUGUUUCUGUAUUAGAAUUGCAUAAGAAUCUAGAACUCAUCAAUACUCAUUCACUGUACUCACAUAGAUCAUCGAGGCUGCGUAACGCUCUUUGAGGUUAAACAGCACAGCAGGCUCAUGCAGGAAGGUAAACAUUGCCAUGUCCUCAAUUUUAUCGAACUUUGGCGGGUUUUGAGGGUGGACUUCUGUGUCUUUCACAGUGACAACCUGGAAUAGCAGUGUUUCUACAGUUAGUAAAAGAUGAACUUGCUAACUGCACACUUAAAUGUUGAACGUCAACAAAUCCAUAGAUCAGAAUAAGUGCUCUCCUACCUUUCCUUUCUCAAUUUCAAAGGUUAAAAUAUAAUGUUGUUUUGGACAAAAGCUUCUGCUAAGAGAUUUAGGUAUAAAUAGAAACAACUGCGAUAUAAAGCACAAUCGCUUACCCCACCUUUAAAUGUUGACCGCCAUUCUGUCGACCAGAAUAUGUGCCCUCCUACCUUUCCUUUUUCAGUUUCAGCGGUGACUUUGUCCCCGUCUCUGCUUUGGAUCGUUCCCUUUACAAAUUCAACCUCAGGGUCCACCACGAAGCAGGCCCUCUUAAUGUCAAAGGGGCGAGUCUGGGCCUCCAGACGCUCCAUGUCCGACUUCCUCAGAAAAGGAGCCGCCGCCCCAAAUUUUUCCAAUGCCACAUCACCCAUCUUUCACCCUAAAAGACCAUUCGGUAUUUGAGUUAAUGACAGUAGUAAAACAAAAACAAAUUGUCCCUUACAAUUUUUGAAGUUAACUAGAGCUAAUGUAAACAAGUGAAAGUUAAUUAGGGCUAUACGCCGUAUAGUUUAGUGUAUGUGUGAAUGUUACAUGUGCACUGGAGGGGUCUAAUACAUUAAUGGUUACAUGGUUAAUAUGUUGCACUGAUCUUUAAUGAAUUCAUGUAGUCAGUCCUGGUACCUUUAGUUUCUCUUUUGCUGCUUGACUGAAUUCCCUGAAUAGUAUAACUAAAGUUCCAUCACUAUUGACAGACACGUGUAUCAUUUCUGUGUUUCUGAUAUCUAAGCCCCAUUUUUGGAGGAGAAAAAUGAAUGAAGCAAGUAGUAAGCCUUUCCAAACAAAAAGGAAUCAGUUAUAUGCUUCAAGCAUAGUAUUUAGACAACAAUAGGCUGAAAACAUUGCCAUUGCAAACAUUGUGCUGUCUAUCAGCAAUGUAGGCAUAAUAAGGUCAGGCAGUACCUAAGCAUAUAGAAAGAACCUGAUAGUAACCUUAGAGUAGCUUAAGUUUAAUAAAUUCAUUUCAAGUCUUUAAAUAAAAAGCUGGACACUGUUAAACAUAUUAUUUAAUCUGGUUUAGGCUGCAGCUCCGCAUAUAGAAAGAACCUGAUAGUAACCUUAGAGUAGCUUAAGUUUAAUAAAUUCAUUUCAAGUCUUUAAAUAAAAAGCUGGACACUGUUAAACAUAUUGUUUCAUUUGGUUUAGGCUGCAGCUCCGUCCAUGGAUUUCAGAUAACAAUAACAACAAGAUAACAAUUAAAAACGAAUGUGUUAUGUUCAUUAACUAUAUUUACCGUAUGUUUGCUGCUCUUGCUGAUAAGUCUGUCCUUUUAGCAAUGAUCUGUAAGAGAGAUGGGCAACAGCAUUGCUAUUGUCUGACAUUCUGAACACACACAAAUUGAGAUCAAUUAUCAACUUGUCAUAAUAUAUCAAAUGUAAAAAUUCGAAUUUAGAGACUUGUAAAUUCUUUAGAUCACAAUACUGUGCUAAAUAAAAACAUAUUAUCCUAUAUGUAUAUGGAUAAUGGCACUGACUGUAUCAAAGCUGCCAUUGCCUUGUUUUGGUGGCUGAGAGAGUGGGGUGGCUGGAAUUGUGGUUAUUCCAUGGAUCGUGCCAGCGAGAGGCUCCAACAGGAAACAGGAGGGCUGCUGGAAUGAUCUCCAGGGAACAAGGUAUUUGCAAGGUGACACGGUAAUGAUGCUAGGGCUGCAACAAACAAUGAUUUUCAUUUUUCAUUUUCAGUCAGCUUAUUAUUUUUAAUUAAUCAAUUAGUGGUAAUUUAGUUUAUUAAUGUCAUAUAGGAGUAAAGAAAAGAGAACAUAUUUGUCCCUUUUUUUCUUUAUCUUGAAAUAUUACUAAAACACAAAAAACAAAUCAAUUGUCAAAAUGGCUUACAGUUAAUUUGUUUCAAACUAUUGAUGUCGCUCGAAUAACAAUUAUAAUGACCAGGUCAAAGAAGUCUUUAAAUAAAAGCAAUUAGUAUUUUGCUAUGAAUUUUAAUAGGUCAGUUUUGUAUGCUGUUUUAAUACAUCUUACACAUUGUUCAAAACUUGUGCAAAUCUUGUUCAGACUCUUUCUUAUUUUUUCCUAUAUGACACCUUUUUUCUUAUGCUUCUUAUGCUUAAGUUCACAUGAAAGAGGGCUCCCACAAAUCAAGACAUUGUUGAAUUUAUAUUUGUAUUGCUAAAGGUAAUUUGAUAUUGUUUUGCUGUAGUACAAGCAGUUAGUCAGAAGUGCCCUCAUGCAUAAGUUCAUACGUACACAUUUUAGAGAAAUAUUGGCCAACUAUAAUGAAGCGGCUACAGCAUUUUGUAAAGAUGAAGGUUUUGAUGAACUAUGGCAUAUGAAAUGUGAUAAUAAAAUAGAUUGAUCAACA